AAAAUUUAUAUGUCCAUUUUUAAGUUAGAUAUAUAGCAAGGAACCCAAGGCUCCCAUCUCAUGAGCUAAUCUGAACUGGUCCAGCUCCAAGGAAAACAUGCCAGGAACUAAACUCAAAGCAGCUGCACCUAAACACUCACACAGGAAGAAGAACAACCAGGCCUGAAGCACUCGGCUGGACAUCACCUGGGACUUUGCUGGCCAAAGAAAAGAGCCUGAAAUUGGGUACAGUGCCACAGAAGUAGAGAUGUGCCACUGGUACAACUGAGACAGGAUCUGGAGGGCAGGCAAGGUGCCCUGAGGAAGAGAGCAAGCAGAAGGACUACUGCUCACAGGACAUCGCAAGAAAAUGCAUUGGAUUUUGCUUCAUUUCUGAACCAGCCCCUCAGCAUUCAAGGAUGCCUGUUGUCUUCAGUCCAGCUGUGCUACUUGAGUCCCAGUGGGCAGUACCUAUCUUGCAGCUUUGGGAAUCCAGAGGGAAAAAAAAAUACAGGGAUUUGUCUCGCAAAAAUAAAGAAAAGGGAGGGGAAAAAGGCAA
This is a long non-coding RNA of Haemorhous mexicanus (house finch), 538 nucleotides long. RefSeq lists it as uncharacterized. NCBI's taxonomy places the organism in Eukaryota, Metazoa, Chordata, Aves, Passeriformes, Fringillidae. The record is from RefSeq and is a predicted model, not a curated record. The transcript has 2 exons.